UNCUGUCAAGAGCUCAUCUACGCCUAGG
RNAcentral lists this non-coding RNA (28 nucleotides) under Homo sapiens (human). The record is from RNAcentral. Lineage: Eukaryota; Metazoa; Chordata; Mammalia; Primates; Hominidae.